CCUACGGGAGGCAGCAGUAGGGAAUCUUCCACAAUGGACGAAAGUCUGAUGGAGCAACGCCGCGUGAGUGAAGAAGGGUUUCGGCUCGUAAAGCUCUGUUGGUAGUGAAGAAAGAUAGAGGUAGUAACUGGCCUUUAUUUGACGGUCAUUACUUAGAAAGUCACGGCUAACUACGUGCCAGCAGCCGCGGUAAUACGUAGGUGGCAAGCGUUGUCCGGAUUUAUUGGGCGUAAAGCGAGUGUAGGCGGUUCAAUAAGUCUGAUGUGAAAGCCUUCGGCUCAACCGGAGAAUUGCAUCAGAAACUGGUGAACUUGAGUGCAGAAGAGGAGAGGGGAACUCCAUGUGUAGCGGUGGAAUGCGUAGAUAUAUGGAAGAACACCAGUGGCGAAGGCGGCUCUCUGGUCUGCAACUGACGCUGAGGCUCGAAAGCAUGGGUAGCGAACAGGAUGAGAUACCCCUGUAC
Molecule: ribosomal RNA, 463 nt
Filed under: uncultured bacterium
Lineage: Bacteria
Description: partial 16S ribosomal RNA
Rfam family: Bacterial small subunit ribosomal RNA
Source: RNAcentral